AUUUAGAUAAAGAAUGUAACGUUCGCACGUGUUCAGGUACGGUGCUGCGACUGCUGGUGGCAGCUGCGAGGGCGGUUAGGGCGGCAACGUCCCGCCUCGCCGUUUGUGCCACGGAUAAAAGACUGCCCGACCCCGUGAAAAUUGUACACGCGUUGCAAGGAGUGCAGUAGCAGCGCCCGCGCCAUCGCUACGCCGCGCAGCUGAGAGGGCGGCGCGGCCCGCCUUGCUGAUUGUGUCUCGAAUAAAGAACUGCCCGGCCCUGACAGCCCCGUGGAAAUUUGGUUCGUUAUGCUCCUUAUGCUUAGGCGAUAAAAAUGUAGUUACGACUGUAGUUACAGAAUUUUUGGUAUUUUUUUAUCCUUGAAUGAUUGUAAGUGUAACCUUAACACAGCCAGCAUCCCGAUAUGCGAUACCUAACUAUAGGCGUAUUCUGAAUGUAAUAAAAGGUUAUGGAUUUGA
Long non-coding RNA from Cydia pomonella (codling moth), 459 nucleotides. RefSeq lists it as uncharacterized. The transcript is spliced from 2 exons. The record is from RefSeq and is a predicted model, not a curated record. NCBI's taxonomy places the organism in Eukaryota, Metazoa, Arthropoda, Insecta, Lepidoptera, Tortricidae.